ACUCUUAUGUUUUCUAGCAUUAAAAUGUACCCUAACCCCGGGAGAAAUGAAAGCAGUGGGCAUUUAGAAUCAGCUUUAUGAUCAGCUUUUUCCUCCCCUCCCAUGAUAAAGGGAAUUUUGCAGAAAUCUGUUUAAAAGAGUCUCCCUAGCAAUUUUGCUGGUAUUAACUGAAGUAGCACUUGGACUCCACAAUGCUGUUUUACACAGUUUUCUGCUGUCUGUUCUUAGUACAGGUCAAAGGACAAUGCUUCACUAAGGAAGUCACAACUAUGAUACUUAAACUUAAUGAAAAACAAACCUGCGGGGGUGAAAAUUUUGCCAAUUCAAAUUUUCUUCCAACUAAAUGGACUGGGUGUAAGUGGUCAUGCCUUCACAAAGGAUUUGAAGACAUCCAGAAAUUAACCAGAACAAACAGCUGCACUACAAUUAUCCAGUCAAUUGAAAAUAGAACUGGCAGAAUAAAGAGACAGUGCACACCCACCAUUUGUCAAACAGAAUAUGAGACUGCUGCUACUAUUGGCAACAGAAGCGAAGCUGGAAGGUGUGUGCAUGCUACUACUGGGAACAUGACUGAAUUUUUAAAUGAGACAAUAAGAUACCUUCAAAUACUAAAUCAGUAGUAAAUUGAUAAUAUUUAUUAUAUUUAUCAUGUAAAAGCAUAUUUUUUUCUGGAAAACCAUAAAAUUACCACUCAUAUAAAGAAUAAAGUUCUCCCCAAAGUACA
RNAcentral lists this long non-coding RNA (724 nucleotides) under Pogona vitticeps (central bearded dragon). Its description in RNAcentral is "lncRNA (ENSPVIG00000007933.1)". The record is from RNAcentral. Lineage: Eukaryota; Metazoa; Chordata; Lepidosauria; Squamata; Agamidae.